Molecule: ribosomal RNA, 496 nt
Filed under: uncultured bacterium
Lineage: Bacteria
Description: partial 16S ribosomal RNA
Rfam family: Bacterial small subunit ribosomal RNA
Source: RNAcentral
GAUGAACGCUGCGGCGUGCCUAAUACAUGCAGGUCGAGCGAACGGACGAGAAGCUUGCUUCUCUGAUGUUAGCGGCGGACGGGUGAGUAACACGUGGAUAACCUACCUAUAAGACUGGGAUAACUUCGGGAAACCGUAGCUAAUACCGGAUAAUAUUUUGAACCGCAUGGUUCAAAAGUGAAAGACUGUCUUGCUGUCACUUAUAGAUGGAUCCGCGCUGCAUUAGCUAGUUGGUAAGGUAACGGCUUACCAAGGCAACGAUGCAUAGCCGACCUGAGAGGGUGAUCGGCCACACUGGAACUGAGACACGGUCCAGACUCCUACGGGAGGCAGCAGUAGGGAAUCUUCCGCAAUGGGCGAAAGCCUGACGGAGCAACGCCGCGUGAGUGAUGAAGGUCUUCGGAUCGUAAAACUCUGUUAUUAGGGAAGAACAUAUGUGUAAGUAACUGUGCACAUCUUGACGGUACCUAAUCAGAAAGCCACGGCUAACUACGUG